RNAcentral lists this ribosomal RNA (405 nucleotides) under uncultured bacterium. RNAcentral describes it as "bacterial SSU rRNA". It matches the Rfam family "Bacterial small subunit ribosomal RNA", at positions 505 to 916 of the family's 1533-position model. The record is from RNAcentral.
GUGCCAGCCGCCGCGGUAAUACGGAGGGUGCAAGCGUUAUCCGGAAUCAUUGGGUUUAAAGGGUCCGCAGGCGGUCAAUUAAGUCAGAGGUGAAAUCCCAUAGCUUAACUAUGGAACUGCCUUUGAUACUGGUUGACUUGAGUUAUACGGAAGUAGAUAGAAUAAGUAGUGUAGCGGUGAAAUGCAUAGAUAUUACUUAGAAUACCGAUUGCGAAGGCAGUCUACUACGUAUAUACUGACGCUCAUGGACGAAAGCGUGGGGAGCGAACAGGAUUAGAUACCCUGGUAGUCCACGCCGUAAACGAUGGACACUAGUUGUUGGAAUUAUUCAGUGACUAAGCGAAAGUGAUAAGUGUCCCACCUGGGGAGUACGAUCGCAAGAUUGAAACUCAAAUAAAUUGACGG